Molecule: ribosomal RNA, 440 nt
Filed under: uncultured bacterium
Lineage: Bacteria
Description: partial 16S ribosomal RNA
Rfam family: Bacterial small subunit ribosomal RNA
Source: RNAcentral
CCUACGGGAGGCAGCAGUGGGGAAUAUUGCACAAUGGGGGAAACCCUGAUGCAGCGACGCCGCGUGAGUGAAGAAGUAUUUCGGUACGUAAAGCUCUAUCAGCAGGGAAGAAAAUGACGGUACCUGACUAAGAAGCCCCGGCUAACUACGUGCCAGCAGCCGCGGUAAUACGUAGGGGGCAAGCGUUAUCCAGAUUUACUGGGUGUAAAGGGAGCGUAGACGGCAGCGCAAGUCUGGAGUGAAAUCCCAUGGCUUAACCAUGGAACUGCUUUGGAAACUGUGCAGCUAGAGUGCAGGAGAGGUAAGCGGAAUUCCUAGUGUAGCGGUGAAAUGCGUAGAUAUUAGGAGGAACACCAGUGGCGAAGGCGGCUUACUGGACUGUAACUGACGUUGAGGCUCGAAAGCGUGGGGAGCAAACAGGAUUAGAUACCCCAGUAGUC